AGGAUCAUUAUCGAGUUUUGAACGGGUUGUAGCUGACCUCUUUUUGGGGUAUGUG
This 55-nucleotide ribosomal RNA is filed under the name Ceriporia sp. MA201. RNAcentral's name for it is "partial 18S ribosomal RNA". The record is from RNAcentral. Lineage: Eukaryota; Fungi; Basidiomycota; Agaricomycetes; Polyporales; Irpicaceae.